This 312-nucleotide ribosomal RNA is filed under the name Triticum aestivum (bread wheat). RNAcentral describes it as "partial small subunit ribosomal RNA". Lineage: Eukaryota; Viridiplantae; Streptophyta; Magnoliopsida; Poales; Poaceae. The record is from RNAcentral.
AUGCAGCCCCGGAACAACAGGGACGUGGCCAACUGCGUGGAGUGCUACGCCAAUGAGCACAAGGUCACGGAGGAGGUCGCCUUUGCUGACAUCGACUCGAUGAUAGAAGAUGAGUGGAAGACCACCAACAAAGCCUGAUUCAAACAUAGUCGUCAGCUGCUGCCUGUGGUGCAACGGGUCAUCCAACACAUUAACUCUCAGUGGGUGUACUACGGUGAUAGGAAAGAUGCCUUCACCUUCAGCUCGCAUCUUGAAGACAUCAUCGAGAGCCUCUUUGUCAAUUCCAUUCCCAUCUACUCCCUCCGUUCCUAA